UACGGAGGGGGCUAGCGUUGUUCGGAAUUACUGGGCGUAAAGCGCACGUAGGCGGCUUUGUAAGUUAGAGGUGAAAGCCCGGGGCUCAACUCCGGAAUUGCCUUUAAGACUGCAUCGCUAGAAUUGUGGAGAGGUAAGUGGAAUUCCGAGUGUAGAGGUGAAAUGCGUAGAUAUUAGGAGGAACACCAGUGACGAAGGCGACUUACUGGACAGAUACUGACGCUGAGGCGCGAAAGCGUGGGGAGCAAACAGG
RNAcentral lists this ribosomal RNA (253 nucleotides) under uncultured bacterium. RNAcentral's name for it is "partial 16S ribosomal RNA". It matches the Rfam family "Bacterial small subunit ribosomal RNA", at positions 524 to 776 of the family's 1533-position model. The record is from RNAcentral.